This is a long non-coding RNA of Schistocerca gregaria, 413 nucleotides long. RefSeq lists it as uncharacterized. The record is from RefSeq and is a predicted model, not a curated record. Lineage: Eukaryota; Metazoa; Arthropoda; Insecta; Orthoptera; Acrididae. The transcript has 2 exons.
AUUCUGUGCAGCACACUAGUGCCAUGGGUAUGUGGGCGCGCGUGCUGUGCGUCAUUAUGGUCCUCCACACCAGCGCGGCCAGUACGUCGGACAACAGCCGUGCGGCGCCGUCCCCCGCAACGAUCGACUUGCCGCCUCCGUCCGGAAGAGCGCCUGGUGCGGCUAUUACACUGCCUCCCAGGUGCCCGGACGACACGACUAACGUCAACGGAAAAUGCGUACACACCAUUCAUAUAGAAGGCAACCGGGGAAACUGAAGAUCAUCAGCCUGGCGGGCUGUAUCCAGCUAGGAAUGAGGAACAUCCGCUCAGGGGUGCGCUUCGUCGCACAAAUUAAAAACAACGCAUAUAUGGACACCAGUACUACACAAAGACGAAUGUAAAAUUUUGUAAUAAAGAUGCAUAUAUUUUUCA